This is a non-coding RNA of Malurus melanocephalus (red-backed fairy wren), 136 nucleotides long. RefSeq annotates it as small Cajal body-specific RNA 3. Lineage: Eukaryota; Metazoa; Chordata; Aves; Passeriformes; Maluridae. The transcript has a single exon. The record is from RefSeq and is a predicted model, not a curated record.
ACUGGAAGCUGCUGGGACCAGUCAUGGGCAAAAUAAUUUUUUUUUUGUCCACUCUUGCAGUCUUCCUAGAGCAAAAUGGAGGUCUCUGUCUGCUUUAGGACAGACAACUAAAUCAGAUCGUUCCCCUCCAUACAYG